CUGUGUAUAAUGGUUUCUAGCUUCCCUGAACAGCUGCAUAUCACGGGGGCUGUUCGAUGCUAAUGCAGAAUGCCAUAGGAUUUUUGUGUUGGUUAAGGGCAGUCAGGUCUGGGGAGAACCAAGGGCUAUAUCUGUUCCUGGUUCUAAAUUUCUUGAAUGGCUUAUUUAAGAUGGUUAGAAAGGCAUUUCAAAAAAUAACCAGUAAUGCCAGAAAUGCUUACUUGCAAGUCCUUAACCAACAAUGCUUUAAGAAGUUUAAAGAAAAAAAAGUGUUAAGUAAAAAAUAAAUAAGUGAAAAAAAAGUAACAAAUAAUUAAAGAGCAGCAGUAAAAUAUGUGGAGACUAUAUACAGGGAGGUACAGAGUCAAUGUGGAGGCUAUAUACAGGGAGUACAGGUACAGAGUCAAUGUGGAGGCUAUAUACAGGGGGUACAGGUACAGAGUCAAUGUGGAGGCUAUAUACAGGGGGUACCGGUACAGAGUCAAUGUGGAGGCUAUAUACAGGAGGUACAGGUACAGAGUCAAUGUGGAGGCUAUAUACAGGGGGUACCGGUACAGAGUCAAUGUGGAGGCUAUAUACAGGG
This is a long non-coding RNA of Oncorhynchus tshawytscha (Chinook salmon), 583 nucleotides long. The record is from Ensembl. NCBI's taxonomy places the organism in Eukaryota, Metazoa, Chordata, Actinopteri, Salmoniformes, Salmonidae.